RNAcentral lists this ribosomal RNA (460 nucleotides) under uncultured bacterium. RNAcentral's name for it is "partial 16S ribosomal RNA". It matches the Rfam family "Bacterial small subunit ribosomal RNA", at positions 338 to 795 of the family's 1533-position model. The record is from RNAcentral.
CCUACGGGAGGCAGCAGUGAGGAAUAUUGGUCAAUGGACGAGAGUCUGAACCAGCCAAGUAGCGUGAAGGAUGACGGCCCUAUGGGUUGUAAACUUCUUUUAUAAAGGAAUAAAACGAGGCACGUGUGCCCUUUUGCAUGUACCUUAUGAAUAAGCAUCGGCUAACUCCGUGCCAGCAGCCGCGGUAAUACGGAGGAUCCGAGCGUUAUCCGGAUUUAUUGGGUUUAAAGGGAGCGUAGGUGGGUUGUUAAGUCAGUUGUGAAAGUUUGGGGCUCAACCGUAAAAUUGCAAUUGAUACUGGCAGUCUUGAGUACAGUAGAGGUAGGCGGAAUGCGUGGUGUAGCGGUGAAAUGCUUAGAUAUCACGAAGAACCCCGAUUGCGAAGGCAGCUUACUAACCUGUUACUGACAUUGAUGCACGAAAGUGUGGGUAUCGAACAGGAUUAGAUACCCGAGUAGUC